This 911-nucleotide ribosomal RNA is filed under the name uncultured eukaryote. RNAcentral's name for it is "SSU rRNA". It matches the Rfam family "Eukaryotic small subunit ribosomal RNA", at positions 564 to 1492 of the family's 1831-position model. The record is from RNAcentral.
GUGCCAAGCAGCCGCGGUAAUUCCAGCUCCAAUAGCGUAUAUUAAAGUUGUUGUGGUUAAAAAGCUCGUAGUUGGAUCUCGGCGGACUGAGGGCGGUUUGCUUGCUAGUAUUACUGCCCUAUAGUCCGUAGUUUUGCCAGAGGUUUCGGGGUGCUCUUAAUCGAGUGUCCCGGGAUGCUGGCAGGUUUACUUUGAAAAAAUUAGAGUGCUCAAAGCAGGCUAUUACGCCUGAAUAUUCGUGCAUGGAAUAAUAGAAUAGGAAGUCGUUUCUAUUUUGUUGGUUUUCGGAAAUCGACUUAAUGAUUAAUAGGGACAGUCGGGGGCAUUUGUAUUCAAACGACAGAGGUGAAAUUCUUGGACCGUUUGAAGACAAACUACUGCGAAAGCAUUUGCCAAGAAUGUUUUCAUUAAUCAAGAACGAAAGUUAAAGGUUCGAAGGCGAUUAGAUACCGCCCUAGUUUUAACCAUAAACGAUGCCAGCUAGCGAUCUGCGGACGUUUUUUGUGUAGACUCCGCUGGAAGCUUCCGGGAAACCAAAGCAUUUGGGUUCCAGGGGAAGUAUGGUUGCAAAGCUGAAACUUAAAGGAAUUGACGGAAGGGCACCACCAGGAGUGGAGCCUGUGGCUUAAUUUGACUCAACACGGGAAAUCUCACCAGGCCCGGACACUGGAAGGAUUGACAGAUUGAUAGCUCUUUCUUGAUUCGGUGGGUGGUGGUGCAUGGCCGUUCUUAGUUGGUGGAGUGAUUUGUCUGGUUAAUUCCGAUAACGAACGAGACUCUGUCCUGCUAAAUAGUGUCUGCUUCUCUUUUGACGCAGACAAUUCUUCUUAGAGGGACUGGCGACUCUUAGUCGCACGAGAUUGACGCAAUACACAGGUCUGUGAUGCCCAAGGCGAAUCCGUUAACUGCAG